GACGAACGCUGGCGGCGUGCUUAACACAUGCAAGUCGAACGGAAAGGCCCUGCUUUUGUGGGGUGCUCGAGUGGCGAACGGGUGAGUAACACGUGAGUAACCUGCCCUUGACUUUGGGAUAACUUCAGGAAACUGGGGCUAAUACCGGAUAGGAGCUCCUGCUGCAUGGUGGGGGUUGGAAAGUUUCGGCGGUUGGGGAUGGACUCGCGGCUUAUCAGCUUGUUGGUGGGGUAGUGGCUUACCAAGGCUUUGACGGGUAGCCGGCCUGAGAGGGUGACCGGCCACAUGGGGGCAGAUGGCGCGCCGGGGCCCCUCCGGGAGGAAGCAGGGGGGAUGCUUGCCCAGGGGGUGGGGGUCGUAUGCCGCAACGGCCGGUGGGGAAGGGCGGCCGUCGGUUUGGAAACCGGGUGCGCCGGGGACGAAGGGGGGGGGCGGGUAGUGGGGAAAGAAGCACCGGUUAACUACG
This 466-nucleotide ribosomal RNA is filed under the name uncultured bacterium. Its description in RNAcentral is "partial 16S ribosomal RNA". It matches the Rfam family "Bacterial small subunit ribosomal RNA", at positions 28 to 505 of the family's 1533-position model. The record is from RNAcentral.